GUAAGGGGACUGGACAAUUAGGGUUAGGUAUAAGGGUCUAGGGUUUAGGAUGGGUGUAGGAAUCUGGGGAUUAGGGUGGGUAUAAUUGAUCCUAGGAUAAGAUUUAGAAAUUGAGGUUUGGCAUAGGGAUCUAGGGGUUAAGGUUAGGGUUAAGGAAUUGGGGUUAGGAAGGGGAAACCACCCAAUAAAUAAACAAAUAAAAAGUAAGUAUAAAAUAAUAAGUGCUGUCCAACAAGGACAAAUCAUCAAUGGACAGAUCAAUGAUAAAAGGUAAGUGCUAAAAAAGUAAGCAAACAAUAAGGUAAAUUCACACUACACUGAGGAAUAAAAAAUAACUGCAAUCAUAUUCAAGUUAAGUACUUAAACAACAUGUAUAAGAAUAAAAAUAAUUAAAUUAAAUAAAAUGAACAUUCCUCGUGACCGGUUCUCCUAUAACCCCUAAUUCUCCCUCAUUCCCCCCAAAAGAGGACCCCAUCCAUCAGGUAAGCAAACCAAGGUAAGUUUAAUACUUUUCAUUUAGACCCCUAGGAUCUAUCGUUUGGAGACGCCCAAUCCAAGUUCUUUCCAACCCCUGCCUCUGUGUCCUGGACCAGCUCCCAUUUGACUCCUGACUAAAAAUAAUACAAUUAUCCACUGUAUGCAAACUAAAAUGCAAAUACAGUACAGCACUGUUACCUUUAGCCAUAUUGUAUAGAUGCUGUUUGAGUCUAGUUUAUUAUGCGUUUUUUGUUUCCCCUAUGUAAAUCGUAAUACCAUAGACCACAUUUAUAGUGGACAAUUCAAUCCUCUGUCCCAUAUUGAACCCCAGACAUGAAAAGGCAUUAACAAUAUAUUUAGGCCUUUCCAAAUAUCCAUCCAGAUAAGAUAGUGCUCCUUUUAGUCUGGAAGGCCGAGAGUACUAAUCUAUCCUUGAGUUUUUUGUUUUCUUCUGAGGUCGAGUUUAAUCUAAAAUCUACCAACCUAUCCACAUCUUGAUGGGCUUCCCGGAAGUUCUAAAUCCACCCAAGCUCCCAGAAUAUGUCGUAACAAAUGGUAUUAGAUUGUGUGUUUUUAUUGUUUUAUUGUAACCCUCUCCACUUCCAAAUAAUUGACUGACCUCUUUUUAUCCCUCUAAGGAAAAGCUUAGAAUACCCCAGAGGCCCCAAAGCUCUAAAUAGAAUGGUUGUGGCGUCCUCUACAUGUAAUGUACAGAUUCUCAGGAAACGAAUUAACUGUGAUUUAAUAAUCCCUCUAAAUGUAUGUUUUGGAUGAUAACUUGCUUUAUGUAUUAGUGCACGCCUAUCAGUCUCCUUAAAGAAGACUUUAGUAGUCAAUGAUUUCAUGAGAGCCCCCGGAAAUACAAAGAAAACCUGAGUGUCCAAGAACUCAAGAUUUGUCUUUUGAAAAUGAUGGGAGAUUGUGAUAGCAGGAUGAUGUGUAUUAAGACUAUCCAAAAGACACUCAAAGUCCUGCAUGGAACUCACCCAAAUACCAAAGAUGUCAUCUAAAUACCGGAGUUAUAGAAAUGGAAGGACCUUACACUUGAGAAAUGCUGUUUCUUCCCAAAACACUUAUCUAAAUUGGCAAAAGCUGGAGCAAAUGUCUUACCCAUGGCAGUGCCAUGGAUCUGAAGAUAAAACUUAUCAUUAAAGUUAAAAACCAUUCCUUAAAAAGGCUCAAGUCCAACAAGUCUAAAAUGUCCUUAUCUGGGCAUGAGGAGUCAGGAAACUUAUUAAAAGCCUGUUUGACUAACUGCAGUCCAAAGGAUGUUUCAACGUUUGUAUAUAGCGAGUUGAUGUCCACUGAAAAUAAAAAUGCCCCUAAUGGUAAUUCAAGACCAUGUGUCCUUAACACAAGAGAUAUGUUUCUGAGAUAACGGAUUUAUAUAAAAGUCAAAGUAUUUCACAGUUAGGCAUGAUUCUGACCCACCAUCACUGACAUUUGGGCGGCCACUAGGGAUCUGGAAGCGUACAGGCCACUCCUCCAAAGGUUUAUAGAUAUUUAGGAGAAGAUAGAAUUGUCUAGGUCUGGGUACCUCCGGGCCCAAAAUUGCUUGGAGGUAAAAGCCUUAUUUUCAAGUAACUCCAGCAAAAUCAUCUUAAUCCUACUUUGAGUCUCAGAUUGAAUGGAGUGGUCCAAAGGGACAUAAUGUUUGACAUAAUUGCCUAUUUGCUUCCAGUAAAUACUGUAUUCUCUCCAUAAUUACAAUCUGUGAUCUUUUGUCAGCAGGUCUGUAUCAAUGUGAGAGAUUAGUGAUAUGAGUGUGGAGCUGUAUUCAAACACUGUUCUCCCCUUACAUGUUUAAAUUAUCAAGCCAAGAAUUUAGAAUGAUGUUUCCUGUCUCAGGCAUCCAGUGUACCGGGUCUUGUGGGAAUGUGUGGAACCUAAGUCGGCUGAUCUCAGAUGGUGAAAUGUAGCCCCAGGAAAGCUAUCUGCCUGCACUCUGGGAUCAGCAAACGUUUAUGUUCUCACUGGGACUUCCUUUCGGAUAAACUUA
Esox lucius (northern pike) is the source of this 2476-nucleotide long non-coding RNA. Lineage: Eukaryota; Metazoa; Chordata; Actinopteri; Esociformes; Esocidae. The record is from Ensembl.